AGCGAACGCUGGCGGCAGGCUUAACACAUGCCAGUCGAACGGGCAUAGCAAUAUGUCAGUGGCAGACGGGUGAGUAACGCGUGGGAACGUACCUUUUGGUUCGGAACAACACAGGGAAACUUGUGCUAAUACCGGAUAAGCCCUUACGGGGAAAGAUUUAUCGCCGAAGGAUCGGCCCGCGUCUGAUUAGCUAGUUGGUAGGGUAAUGGCCUACCAAGGCGACGAUCAGUAGCUGGUCUGAGAGGAUGAUCAGCCACAUUGGGACUGAGACACGGCCCAAACUCCUACGGGAGGCAGCAGUGGGGAAUAUUGGACAAUGGGCGAAAGCCUGAUCCAGCCAUGCCGCGUGAGUGAUGAAGGCCCUAGGGUUGUAAAGCUCUUUUGUGCGGGAAGAUAAUGACGGUACCGCAAGAAUAAGCCCCGGCUAACUUCGUG
RNAcentral lists this ribosomal RNA (435 nucleotides) under uncultured bacterium. RNAcentral's name for it is "partial 16S ribosomal RNA". It matches the Rfam family "Bacterial small subunit ribosomal RNA", at positions 29 to 507 of the family's 1533-position model. The record is from RNAcentral.